This 223-nucleotide long non-coding RNA is filed under the name Diabrotica virgifera virgifera (western corn rootworm). Its description in RNAcentral is "uncharacterized LOC126889579". The record is from RNAcentral. Lineage: Eukaryota; Metazoa; Arthropoda; Insecta; Coleoptera; Chrysomelidae.
UGUAUGAGCUUUCGUAACGUUCGGUUGUGUGACAGUUCAGUGUGGAAGUGAUAAUUCAAAAAAAACGCAGGCGACAAAAACAAAAUAGGAACUACAUAAUAGAGCUACAGAAAAACAAGAAGAAGGACAAGGACCACAUAGGACCAAAAAAAAAAAAAUAGAUCUGAAGUUGACAGGACACCUGGUUGUGCAUUGCCUUGAGCAAGACGCGCAUAACCAAUAA